RNAcentral lists this ribosomal RNA (344 nucleotides) under uncultured Bacillus sp. RNAcentral's name for it is "bacterial SSU rRNA". It matches the Rfam family "Bacterial small subunit ribosomal RNA", at positions 1035 to 1382 of the family's 1533-position model. The record is from RNAcentral. Lineage: Bacteria; Bacillati; Bacillota; Bacilli; Caryophanales; Bacillaceae.
CAGGUGCUGCAUGGCUGUCGUCAGCUCGUGUCGUGAGAUGUAGGGUUUAAGUCCCGCAACGAGCGCAACCCCUACGUUUAGUUGCUAACGCGUGAAGGCGAGCACUCUAGACGAACUGCCGUUGCAAAACGGAGGAAGUGGGAUGACGUCAAAUCAUCAUGCCCUUAUGUUCUGGGCUACACACGUGCUACAAUGGCCGGUACAGACGGACGCAAAGCCGCGAGGUGGAGCAAAUCCUAAAAGCCGGUCUCAGUUCGGAUUGCAGGCUGCAAUUCGCCUGCAUGAAGUCGGAAUCGCUAGUAAUCGCAGGUCAGCAUACUGCGGUGAAUACGUUCCCGGGUCUU